GAUGAACGCGGCGGCGUGCCUAACACAUGCAAGUCGAGCGAGGGUUUGCUCAGUAUUGAGUAUUCUAAGACUAGAAUGUUCAAUUCUGAGCAAAACCAAGCGGCGGACGGGUGAGUAACGCGUGGGUAACCUGCCCUAUACACAUGGAUAACAUACUGAAAAGUUUACUAAUACAUGAUAAUAUAUAUUUGUGGCAUCGCAGAUAUAUCAAAGUGUUAGCGGUAUAGGAUGGACCCGCGUCUGAUUAGCUAGUUGGUGAGAUAACUGCCCAUCAAGGCGACGAUCAGUAGCCGACCUGAGAGGGUGAUCGGCCACAUUGGAACUGAGACACGGUCCAAACUCCUACGGGAGGCAGCAGUGGGGAAUAUUGCACAAUGGGCGAAAGCCUGAUGCAGCAACGCCGCGUGAACGAUGAAGGUCUUCGGAUCGUAAAGUUCUGUUGCAGGGGAAGAUAAUGACGGUACCCUGUGAGGAAGCCCCGGCUAACUACGUGCCAGCAGCCGCGGUAAUACGUAGGGGGCUAGCGUUAUCCGGAUUUACUGGGCGUAAAGGGUGCGUAGGUGGUCCUUCAAGUCGGUGGUUAAAGGCUACGGCUCAACCGUAGUAAGCCGCCGAAACUGGAGGACUUGAGUGCAGGAGAGGAAAGUGGAAUUCCCAGUGUAGCGGUGAAAUGCGUAGAUAUUGGGAGGAACACCAGUAGCGAAGGCGGCUUUCUGGACUGCAACUGACACUGAGGCACGAAAGCGUGGGUAGCAAACAGG
Molecule: ribosomal RNA, 761 nt
Filed under: uncultured Peptostreptococcus sp.
Lineage: Bacteria; Bacillati; Bacillota; Clostridia; Peptostreptococcales; Peptostreptococcaceae
Description: bacterial SSU rRNA
Rfam family: Bacterial small subunit ribosomal RNA
Source: RNAcentral